GAUCCUAUCAUAUUUAUCAACGUUUGAGACUACCUCAUACCAUAUCUUCGUACUUCAUUACUAGAUAUACGUAGGUAGAUUUAGUGCGGAAGUAACGAACAGGGUACUGCGUGAGGCCGGUUACGGAGCAACGAAAACCUGUCUACGAUGAUAGACCUGGGUUGAUAUGGAUGUCAAGUUAAUACCUAUGCUAGUAUUGGAACUAAUUUU
Molecule: non-coding RNA, 210 nt
Filed under: Entamoeba histolytica
Lineage: Eukaryota; Evosea; Mastigamoebida; Endamoebidae
Source: RNAcentral